Non-coding RNA from Pelobates cultripes (western spadefoot toad), 541 nucleotides. NCBI's taxonomy places the organism in Eukaryota, Metazoa, Chordata, Amphibia, Anura, Pelobatidae. The record is from the annotation of a GenBank genome assembly.
CACAGACCACGCAGGAGGAAGGAGGAGGGAGUCAGAGUAGGAACUCUGACUCCCAUCAACCUGAGCCACCACUGGACCCCAGGGAAUGUCACCCUCUUGCACCUAAAAGGUAGGAAACAGGAGGGUGACUAAAAUAUUUUGUGUGUGUGUCUUUGUAUGUAUGUGUGUCAUGUUUGUGUGUCUGUAUAUAUGUGUGUAUGUAUGUGUCUUUGUAUGUAUGUGUGUCUUGUCUUUGUAUGUAUGUAUAUGUUGUGUGUGUGUGUGUGUCUUUGUAUGUAUAUGUGUCUUGUGUCUGUAUGUAUGUGUGUGUAUGUGUCUAUGUAUGUAUGUGUUGUGUGUGUAUGUAUGUAUGUGUGUAUACCUACCUUGUGUGUUUCUGUAUGUAUAUGUCUGUAUGUAUGUAUGUAUGUGUGUAUGUGUUUGUAUGUAUCUGUCUGUCUGUAUGUGUCUAUGUGUGUGUCUGUAUGUAUGUAUGCACGUGUCAUGGUUGAUUAUAUAUUUCCUGCCUGUUCUAUGUUAAAUUUUGUAUAUAUUGUGUAUU